Molecule: ribosomal RNA, 433 nt
Filed under: uncultured bacterium
Lineage: Bacteria
Description: partial 16S ribosomal RNA
Rfam family: Bacterial small subunit ribosomal RNA
Source: RNAcentral
AACGAACGCUGGCGGCGUGCCUAACACAUGCAAGUCGAACGAGAAGUUCGGGUCUUGGGGCGCACGGGUGCGUAAGGCGGGGGAACCUACCCGUGGGUUCGGAAUAACUCACCGAAAGGGAUGCUAAGACAGGUGAAUGUCUUAGGAGCAAGGAGUUAUCGCCGUAGGAUGGGCGCGGGUUGGAUUAGCUAGUUGGUAGGGUACAAGCCUACCAAGGGGACGAUGCAUAGCUGGUGUGAGAGGAUGCUUAGCCACACUGGGAAUGAGACACGGACCAGACUCCGACGGGAGGGAGCAGUGGGGAAUAUUAGAGGCUGGGCGAAAGCCUGAUACAGCCACGCCGCGUGAGUGAUGCAUGCCUUAGUGUUGUAAAGCUCUUUUAGCCGGGAUGAUAAUGACAGUACCGGGUGAAUAAGCUCCGGCUAACUACGUG